ACCAAGGCCCAACACGGCCCAGUAAAGGUCGGCACGCCAUUACGGCGUCCUGCGAGAAGCUGUUGGCGUGGCGGGCGACGGAGGCGGGGCGGCGGCCUCGCCGUUCGCCGUCGCUGUGCCCUGACUCGCCCUCGGGGCAGCCGGCACCCGGAAACACCUUUUCCAGAUUGCAAUAUAGUGAUUAUACCUAGAAAGAGCCUUAAGCUCCUUCAAGUGGAGACGUUGCAGAAGGUCGAAAUCCAGCUUGGCAAACUCCAGAAUGGAGGAGUUAUGUGUCGGCUCUGCUUUGUACUCUGAGAUAUAAUGUAGAGCCUCAAUUCUUCUUAAGGUCCGUGACAGUGGUAGGUGAAGGGCUCGGUUCACUUGCUGGGCCAAUGGGUAUUCAAGGUUAUUUCUCAUCGAUUCAAGAUGUUGCCUCGCAAAUAAUAUAGCCUCUUCAAGAUCUGCCUCUCCAUGUGUGAAAAGGUAAGCUGCAUUGUAUAAACUUAGUAGUCCCCUUGCAUCGUUAGUUAUAUGAGCAUUAAAGUUCCCAUUUUCGUCUUUGAACCUGUUGAAUUCAUCUGCAAGAUCGAACAAUCAAAUUAUAUGCAAGUCAUGAAUCUGAUGAGCUUAUUAGCAUCAA
Long non-coding RNA from Panicum hallii, 622 nucleotides. RefSeq lists it as uncharacterized. The transcript is spliced from 2 exons. Lineage: Eukaryota; Viridiplantae; Streptophyta; Magnoliopsida; Poales; Poaceae. The record is from RefSeq and is a predicted model, not a curated record.